Molecule: ribosomal RNA, 506 nt
Filed under: uncultured bacterium
Lineage: Bacteria
Description: partial 16S ribosomal RNA
Rfam family: Bacterial small subunit ribosomal RNA
Source: RNAcentral
AGUGAACGCUGGCGGUAGGCCUAACACAUGCAAGUCGAACGGCAGCACAGGAGAGCUUGCUCUCUGGGUGGCGAGUGGCGGACGGGUGAGGAAUACAUCGGAAUCUACUCUGUCGUGGGGGAUAACGUAGGGAAACUUACGCUAAUACCGCAUACGACCCACGGGUGAAAGCAAGGGACCUUCGGGCCUUGCGCGAUUGAAUGAGCCGAUGUCGGAUUACCUAGUUGGCGGGGUAAAGGCCCACCAAGGCGACGAUCCGUAGCUGGUAUGAGGGGAGGGUCGGCCAGACUGGGACUGAGACACGGUCCAGACUCCUACGGGAGGCAGCAGUGGGGAAUAUUGGACAAUGGGCGCAAGCCUGAUCCAGCCAUACCGCGUGGGUGAAGAAGGCCUUCGGGUUGUAAAGCCCUUUUGUUGGGAAAGAAAUCCAGCUGGCUAAUACCCGGUUGGGAUGACGGUACCCAAAGCAUAAGCACCGGCUAACUUCGUGCCAGCCGCCGCCGUAA